CACUGGACAACAUGGCACAGAAUACUCAAUGAAGGGGCGCCUGGGUAGCUCAAUUACAGGAAGUCCAGAGCUGAUGAAAGGACGACAUCAAAGACCAAGAUUCCCUUCAGCAUCCUGAUCUACCACGUAGUAGGACAGGAGGCUGCUGUAGCUCUUAAGUUUGGUGACACUCCACAAGGAACCAAAAAAACGUUUACUCCCUUUAAGAAGCACAAGACUACGAAGAGAAGUGGCUCCUCCACUCCCUGCCGAGGGCCCAGUUCUGGGUUCCUGCUUUGGACCAGCCUGUCCCACCGAGACGAGCCUUGAGGAUGUCUUCUUGCAGGAGAGGGGUUUCUCCCUGCCUUCCCAGGAGGCCCUACCUUAAGCAGUUGGCAUUCUACUCCCUGUGUUCUCCACCUGUCACCUGCUCUCUUGCCUUAUUUUGAGCUCCCAUUUUUCUCCAUCUCAAUUUCUAAAUACAUGCCUUCCUUCGCU
Molecule: long non-coding RNA, 477 nt
Organism: Suricata suricatta (meerkat)
Lineage: Eukaryota; Metazoa; Chordata; Mammalia; Carnivora; Herpestidae
Exons: 3
Source: RefSeq, a predicted model, not a curated record